This 860-nucleotide ribosomal RNA is filed under the name Leucophleps cf. levispora. RNAcentral describes it as "partial large subunit ribosomal RNA". It matches the Rfam family "Eukaryotic large subunit ribosomal RNA", at positions 85 to 915 of the family's 3401-position model. Lineage: Eukaryota; Fungi; Basidiomycota; Agaricomycetes; Boletales; Leucogastraceae. The record is from RNAcentral.
AACUGCGAGUGAAGCGGGAAAAGCUCAAAUUUGAAAUCUGGCGGUCUUUGGCCGUCCGAGUUGUAGUCUGGAGAAGCGCUUUCCGCGCCGGACCGUGUACAAGUCCUCUGGAACGGGGCGUCAUAGAGGGUGAGAAUCCCGUCUUUGACACGGACUGCCGGUGCUCUGUGAUGUGCUCUCGAAGAGUCGAGUUGUUUGGGAAUGCAGCUCAAAAUGGGUGGUGAAUUCCAUCUAAAGCUAAAUAUUGGCGAGAGACCGAUAGCGAACAAGUACCGUGAGGGAAAGAUGAAAAGCACUUUGGAAAGAGAGUUAAACAGUACGUGAAAUUGUUGAAAGGGAAACGCUUGAAGUCAGUCGCGUCGUCCAGGAUUCAGCCUUGCGAUCUCGCUCGGUGUACUUUCUGGUUCGAUGGGCCAGCAUCGAUUUCGAUCAUCGGACAAAGGUGGGGGAAAUGUGGCACCCUUUACUGGGUGUGUUAUAGUCCCUCAUUCGGUAUACGGUGGUCGGGAUCGAGGAACUUGGCAUGCCCUUUUUUUGUGGUCGGGGCUUCGGCCCACGUCUCAUGCUUAGGAUGCUGGCGUAAUGGCUUUAAACGACCCGUCUUGAAACACGGACCAAGGAGUCUAACAUGCCCGCGAGUGUUCGGGUGGAAAACCCGUGCGCGUAAUGAAAGUGAAAGUUGGGACCUUCGAGAGGAGGGCACCGACGCCCGGACCAGACCUUCUGUGACGGAUCCGCGGUAGAGCGUGUAUGUUGGGACCCGAAAGAUGGUGAACUAUGCCUGAAUAGGGUGAAGCCAGAGGAAACUCUGGUGGAGGCUCGUAGCGAUUCUGACGUGCAAAUCGAUCGUCGAAUUUGGG